AUUUGUCAGUCAUCAUUCAGGUAGGUCCUAGCCAGUUAUCAUUCAGAUAAGUCCUCCUAGCAAGUCAUCAUUCAGGUAGGUCCUCCUAGUCAGUCAUCAUUCAGGUAAGUUCUCCUAGUCAGUCAUCAUUCAGGUAGGUCCUCCUAGCCAGUCAUCAGUGAGGUAGGUCCUCCUAGCCAGUCAUCAUGCAGGUAGAUCCUCCUAGCCAGUCAUCAUUCAGGUAGGUCAUAGUCACUCGUCUUUCAGGUAGGUCAUAGUCAGUCACAGUGAUGAGAGGGCCUUGCUCUGUUUAUCUUUAGAAGGAUCUUAUCCUUCGUCUAGUUGUGUCUAGGGUUGCAAAAUUACAAGAACUUUAAAUAAUUUCCAUGGUUUUCCCAACAUCCCAGUUGGAGGAUCCCAGAACCAGGAGGAAAUAAGCAGGACAUCCGGAACCCUCCAACCAGGAUUUCUGGAAAACUAGGGAAUUUAUUGACAGUUCCCUGAAUUUUGUAACCCUAGUUGUGUCCCAAUAAAUGCAGAAGGAGCUGUGCCAGGAGAGGGCCUGUGGGAGUAUAGUGAUGAGAUUGACCACUCUCUCUGUGGUACAACUGCUGCUGACUCAUCCUGCACUACCUGCAGGACUCAGGCUUAGUACUCAUCACACACACACACACACACACAUUUCCCACAGAUGACAUGUUUGAACUGUCCUUGUGGUUGUCUCGGUGGGUGUAGGUUGACCAGUGAGGGUUUCAACAACUUGUUGUUAGUCUACUCCUCUCUGGUUCUGUUUGGCUUCAAGAGUGAAGAUCUGGAUGUCAAGGUAACAUACAUUUCAGCUCUCUUCAAAAUAAAACGGAGUCUUUCAAUUCAAUCUGAUAUGAAAUGUUAACAAAUGUUUUUUUUGCUGACCUAC
Long non-coding RNA from Oncorhynchus tshawytscha (Chinook salmon), 895 nucleotides. NCBI's taxonomy places the organism in Eukaryota, Metazoa, Chordata, Actinopteri, Salmoniformes, Salmonidae. The record is from Ensembl.